GACGAACCGAGUGAACGUUAUUCGGAAUCAUUGGGCUUAAAGGGCGCGUAGGCGGGCGAUCAAGUCCGGGGUGAAAGCCCCCAGCUCAACUGGGGAAGUGCCUCGGAUACUUGUCGCCUCGAGGGAGAUAGGAGCGUGCGGAACUUCCGGUGGAGCGGUGAAAUGCGUAGAUAUCGGAAGGAACACCGGUGGCGAAAGCGGCGCGCUGGAUCUCUUCUGACGCUGAGGCGCGAAAGCCAGGGGAGCGAACGGG
This 253-nucleotide ribosomal RNA is filed under the name uncultured bacterium. RNAcentral describes it as "partial 16S ribosomal RNA". It matches the Rfam family "Bacterial small subunit ribosomal RNA", at positions 524 to 776 of the family's 1533-position model. The record is from RNAcentral.